AGCUAGUGACUCGAGAUGAUACCU
This 24-nucleotide non-coding RNA is filed under the name Arabidopsis thaliana (thale cress). Lineage: Eukaryota; Viridiplantae; Streptophyta; Magnoliopsida; Brassicales; Brassicaceae. The record is from RNAcentral.